UGGGGAAUAUUGGACAAUGGGCGAAAGCCCGAUCCAGCAAUGCCGCGUGAGUGAUGAAGGCCUUAGGGUUGUAAAGCUCUUUUACCCGGGACGAUAAUGACAGUACCGGGAGAAUAAGCCCCGGCUAACUCCGUGCCAA
Molecule: ribosomal RNA, 139 nt
Filed under: uncultured bacterium
Lineage: Bacteria
Description: partial 16S rRNA
Rfam family: Bacterial small subunit ribosomal RNA
Source: RNAcentral